Molecule: ribosomal RNA, 549 nt
Filed under: Triticum aestivum (bread wheat)
Lineage: Eukaryota; Viridiplantae; Streptophyta; Magnoliopsida; Poales; Poaceae
Description: partial small subunit ribosomal RNA
Source: RNAcentral
AUGACGACGAGCAGGGAGAAGAGGUGGAGCCUGGCCGGCGCGACGGCGCUCGUCACCGGCGGCAGCAAAGGAAUAGGGCGCGCCAUCGUGGAGGAGCUCGCCGGCUUCGGGGCGCGGGUGCACACGUGCUCCCGCAACGCGGCGGAGCUGGAAGAGUGCCGCCGGCAGUGGGAGGAGGAGAAGCUGGCGGUCACCGUCUCUGUGUGCGACGUCUCUGUGCGCGCUGAGAGGGUGAAGCUCAUGGAGACUGUCAGGGACUCCUUCGACGGCAAGCUGGACAUACUGGUGAACAAUGCAGGGCAAUUGGUUUUAAAAGCGGCUAUAGAGUGGACGGCGGACGACUACGCACAAUUGAUGGAGACUAACUUAGAGUCAAACUUCCACCUUAGUCAGCUCGCGCACCCUCUACUCAUCAACGCCUCUAUACUUGGAGGAGGUAGCAUCGUCAACAUCUCCUCUGUUGGAGGUAUAUUUGGCUACCCAGGCCUCGCACUUUAUGGCAUCACAAAAGGAGGAAUGAACCAAUUUACAAGGAGCCUCGCCACUUAG